RNAcentral lists this long non-coding RNA (1255 nucleotides) under Gadus morhua (Atlantic cod). RNAcentral describes it as "lncRNA (ENSGMOG00000023815.1)". The record is from RNAcentral. Lineage: Eukaryota; Metazoa; Chordata; Actinopteri; Gadiformes; Gadidae.
AGUGAAUUGGUGCAAUCGCCAUUUCUUCUGCAUUUCCAAAAUUUGCUAAGAAAUGCAAAUGGACAGAGAUGGUGACCCAAAUCUGUAUCGAUGCCCAAGCAUUAUUCCCACUCUUCUGCAGAAUCUCCUCCCUCAAGCUCCUUUGUGGACUGGCCUCCUCCUGGGUUAGUCUGUAGUAAACACAGCCUGUUCCCAAUUAAAGUCCAAAACCUUUUAUUCUAGCUCUGUGGUGUCCUCUACAUAAAUUCCAAUGCAUAAAUUGGGGUUAUUGUCCCAUAAAUUCAUUUCUUUCCCACCUACCCUAUCCUCAGGUGACCUGGGACGCCAUGGGAAAGGGACAGUUUAUUUGCAGCUGUCGAAUAAAUUUGAGAAAGCAGCAAGUACAGCGAAACAGAACUACACACAGGACAACAGGACCCAAGGGAUCAUGGAGAAGAGCCAGUGGGACUUGAAGAAAGUCAGGCUCCAGGGCAGGCGCUUCAAGAGGAUGGACGAUUUUGUGGCCAUUCAUAAAGUCAGCACCAAUGCCCUGCUAAGGGAAUAUGCUGACUCACUGAAGGAAAGGAGGAAGCAGAAGAGACAUCAGGUGGAAACUGAGAAAUGGAAACACAGAAGCCAAAGGAAACGGGGAGUGUACGUGGCACCAAGGAAGAAGGCAUUUACCUUUCAGACAACAAAGAAUGCUGAACCUUUGAGCACUGCUGACUGCCCAUCUGAAAGCCGCCCAUCCUCACCCCUCGGCCCUGUGAACGUCCUUCACCUGUCUUCACCUGAACAUGCAAGUGUUCAGGUGAAUGCUGAUAGGCCAGGUGAAAGCCACUUGUCCUCAUCUGACCUGCACGACCAACAGUUAACCUUACUGUGGAGAAAGAGGUCGACAGAGGUGGUUGUUGCGGUACUGCCUUCUCAAAUUAAGGGUCGGAGCAUCUAUGUACACCACUCAGAGCUGCGUUCACUACGGCCACACCUGUGGUUGACAGGAGAGAUAAUUCAUGGAUUGAUGCAUCUCAGUGCCUACACACACAAUGUGGUAGACACCAUCUACCUGAUGGACCAUUACACGGCAGGUGUGAUUUUGUCUGGUGACAGGGCCACAGUACGCCGUCAAAGCUUACCUAAGGUAAACUUUGAAAACUAUGAAGCGAUGCUGUCAUUCAUCCAUGUGAAUGGGAAUCAUUGGAACAUGCUGGUUUGUUGCCUUCUUAAUUUUCACUCAGUAAGAUGUUUGUUAUCACAUCGUGAAAUAAAGUAUUAA